AAUGACUUGCUCAAUGUCAUUGAACGUGUGGUGGCCGAGUCAAAUUUAAAGGGAAAGCUGCUGCUGACGGGGUCUGUCCUCCAACCAGCAGCCUGGGUCGGUGAGUAUCUCUGUAUGGCAUGUUUUUCUCUUGGCUACCUUCAAAGCUCCUACCCAGUGUUUUCUUAUUCAAUUACUUCUCGAGUAAUCUGUUCCUACAGACUUGGCCUCACUAUUGCCAGCAUUUACAACCUCCUUCAUGCAUUUCCUUAAAAAUGUGCAAGCUCUGCCAUUUGGCAAGCUCUGUCAGAGGUAGGAGACAUCUCUGUUGUGUCAGUCUCCACUCCCACCUCACUACUCGUUUUUCAGAAUGAAACGAAAGUGUCCCUGAGCAUCCCAGAAACCAUAGGCUGACGAAGCCAUUUCACCUCUAGAGUUGAUUUCCACUUGCUCAUUGCCAUGGCCCACUGAGGGCUCAGUAGCAUUCCGUGGAGACUAGGAUUUCACUGCAGCCUCUUACUUGUGCAUUCCAGGCGUCUGGCCUGGAAAACACAGUGGCAAGAGCUGGUGGGACACCAGGGGGUAGCAGUGGAAGGGGUGGGUUUUCACACAGGGAAAGUCAAAGGACUUGAGUUCCAUUCUGUGGUGGACAUUGUCUAGGGUAUCAGACAAAUCAUGUACCUUGUCUUUGCUUUAGUUUCUUCUUUGGUAAAAUAAAGAGGAUACUAAUUUUAAUUUGCUUGCAUGGUCAGUAAGUGCAAAAUAUUUUCUGAAGCUUUGUAUGUCCAGAUAAGGCCUGGAGUGUGAUUAGAAGGAGUUUAAGCAGGUGUGCUCUGGCUGUGCCCCAUAAUAACCCAGGGACCUUGGCCACACUACCUAAUAUCACCAAUCCCAGUCCCUUCAACUAGAACAAGGGAAUAAUAAUUAGUACCUACCUCACAGGGUUGGGUGAGGUUUAAAUGAGUCAAUGUUUAUAAAACACUUAGAGUCGUGUCUGGCAUUUCUUUAUUGCUUAGUGCAGUAAUAGCAGAGCAAAAUUAAACUAGCUCAGAUGAAUGGAGUUAUGGGUCUAGUCUAUUCAUUAACUGAUAGCACUUGACAAGCUGAUCUUAAGUUUUAUACAGAAGAGCAAAGGACAAAGGAUAAAGAGAGGCAGUUUUGAAAAAAAAAAAAGUAGGAAACUAGCCUUGCCCGAUAUCAAGACUUCUUAGAGUGUUACAGCAGUGAUGAGAGGUGGUACCAGUGCAGGAAUAGAAAAAUAGACCCAAAGACUGGAGGACAACAACUAAAAUAUCCCAUCCUUAAGUGAAAGUUUGGUAUGACAGAGCAGAAGAGGGAUGGACCAUUGGUUAUCCAGACGGAGAAGAAUAAAAACACAUCACACACAAAAAUCAAUUGUCAGUGCAUUAAAAAGCUCUACAUGAAAGCAAAAAUGUAAUACAUUUAUAAGGAAAUAUAGGAAAGCAUUUCUGAUUUAAGGGCUAAGGAAUGAUUCCUUAGACAAUGUAUAAAGGGAAAAACCAUAAUGGAAAGUGGUGGCAUAUUUGACUACACUAACAUUGAAUUUUAAACUGACUUUUUUUGAAGAAUGUCUCCAUAAAUAAAGAUUAAGAGAGACACUGGGAGGGAAUAUUGGAAACCGACCAUUGAUAAAAGCCUUGUAUCCAGAGUUUAAAAAAUCACUACAACUCAGCAAGAAAAAAAUAGAAAAUAGGCAAAACAUAAAACAAUAGUCAUUAAUUACCAAUAAACACAUAAGAGAUGCUAAAGGUCCCCAGUCACUGACAAACUACAAAUUAAAACAACCAUGAGAUACCAUUACUCACUCAUCAUGUUGACCAAAAUUUUAAGUCUGAUCAAAACAAGUAUAAGCAAGGAUAAUAGACACAAAUCCUCCCAUACUACUUUGUACCUAGUUAUGACCACUUUCAGUCAGAUUCCACUUCUAGGCAUAUAACCUAAUGAAAGUGUCACAUCAGCAUGGGAGAUUUAUAGAAGAAUGUUGAUUGCAACACUGUUAGUACUCGGGUAAAAAAGGGGAAAUGACCUAAAUGAUCAUCAGGAAUGGACAAAUAAUUUAUUGUAUAGCCAUACAAUGGAACAUCAUACAGAAAUUUAAAUGAAUGGACUAGAAUUACAUGUAUUAACACGGAUAAAUCCCCAAAACAUAAUGUUGAAUGACAAAAAGCAAAUGACAGAAGAAUAGAGACGAUAGGAUGCCAUUUGUGUAAAACUUAAAAGCAUAUAAAACAGGGCGCCUGGGUGGCUCAGUGGAUUCAGUGUCUGACUCUUGAUUUCAGUUCGGGUCAUGGUCUCAUGGUUCGCGAGAUGGAGCCCCUGUCCGGCUCUGCACUGUCAGCUUGGGAUUCUCUCUCUCUCCCUCUCUCUCCACUCCUCCUGUGCUCGCUCCCUCUUUCUCUCUCCCUCAAAAUUGAAUAUGUAAACAUUUACAGAAAGCAUGUAAAACAAAGAUCAGAGAAAGACAAAUAUCAUAUGACUUCACUCAUAUGAGGACUUGAAGACACAGAACAGAUGAACAUAAGGGAAGGGAAGCAAAAAUAGUAUAAAAACCGGGAGGGGGACAAAACAUAAGAGACUCUUAAAUAUGGAGAACAAACGGAGGGUUACCGGAGGGGUUGUAGGAGGUGGAAUGGGCUAAAUGGGUAAGGGGCUCCUGAAAUCAUUGUUGCACUGUAUGCUAACUAAUUUGGAUGUAAAUUAAAAAAGUAAAACAAAUUGAACAAAGAUAGACACAUAAGACACCUACAUGAGGAGUAGUAUAGAACAUGAAGGAGGGUGACAAACAUCAGAUUUUGGAUGAUGGCCACCUGUAGGAUGGCUUAGAGAAGGGGUGCACAGGAGACUUCAAGUAUAGUUGUAAUCUUUUAUUAUUUAAAAAAAUAGUAAAUAGGUCAAAAUGUUAAGGUUUGAUAAAGUUAGGUGGUGGGCACCCAAGUGUUCGUUAUGUUGUUUUCUCCUACUUUGUCCCCCUUUACAGGAUUUUGUAGUCCAUUUUUAAAAAUUCUAAAUUGGCUCCUACUUCCAACACAAAGGAAGAUGAAGCAUAACUGUUUGCCAUUAAAGUGCUAAUAUAUGACCUGCCACCUCCUUCCAACAGCCCAGGACAAGUGCCCCUAGCACCUGCCACAGUGCAUGGCUCCAGAAGGGCUUGCAGUAAAUGAAGAUGGAAAAAAAAUGAAUGGAUGAAAGGGCCUAUCCUUAGAAAUGGAGGCCUGGUCAUAUGUUCACUAUGCCUUUUUUGGCCAUUAAAUCACACUCCAAGAGUCAUUUUCCUCCCAUCCAUCUCACUCAGUCUGAGUUGCCAUCUAGUAUAAUAAUUCGGGGGGAUUACCUUUAGGGACCAUUGCUUGCAAUUCAGUCCUGGCUGUGCUCUGAAUUCAUUAGUGUUUUUGCAGCAUUGUGCAUUACUCAGAAGAAUGAUCCUCUCCCAGAUUAGGGCAUUGCUGUCUCUGUCAUAUUCUAGUAAUAAUAAUAACCAAAAGCAAACGUGAGGAAGUAAAAUCUCCAGGGAGGCCUUUCUCUUCAAUUAAGGAGUUCUAAUGCAUCACAGUCCCACCAUACAUGUGACUCAGUUGUCCUUUAUAAAUGCAGGGGGUGUUUCCUUUUGUGGCUCUGCUGCUGUUUCUCCUUCAUGUCUCUCUCCCAGUGCUGCUGCUUCUCUCUGUACAUGCAGACAAACAUAUGUGAAAUAGAUGACAUGGGGAUUUAUACCUGUUUAUUGACCUAGCCAGCUUGCACUUCUAAGAUUCUUUUGGUGUCAUCCUAGGAAAUAAAAUAUGGUAGCUUAAUUGGUUGGUAAUGGUGCUAAUAAAUGUAGAGUCUUAAGUUCUAUCCCCUAAAAGCCAGAAUGAUUUUCUUUGUUCAGCAAGAUGCAGAGGGCAUCUCAAAUCUUGGCACAUGUAUCCUCGUUUAUAUAUGGCAGAUUGGACAAGGCAGGGUGGCAAGAAUCAUGUCAAAUGUGCCACUACCAUCGGAACUCAAAAUUGUCCCCACCCUGGUGAGUCUGUGGAUUCCUUUUAUGAGGAAAGGAGAGUAUCUUAGUGGUUAGAAAGGGUUAGUAAUGUCCCAACUCACCUACAAACGUGAAACUGAGGAAGUGGUCUGGGCUGAGAUUCCCACCUUUUACUGCUGAAGAGUAGAAAAUAGAUUUGGUCAUUCUUACUUGUGAUGUUUCUGAAUCUGAGUAUUCAAAGAGAAAUAAAAGGUGACAAACUCAAGCAAAGAGAAAUUUGGGCUGAAUCUCUGGGGAAAGAAAUCACAGUGAAAUCCAUUAGACUGUGUAAUAGUUUCCCAAGGGGAAUGACAUAAACCUCAUAGUUUUGCAGUCGUUUAAAUGUAGACCAAUCCAUGCAUUUCUGAGAGACCCCAGGGAACAAUCUUGCACUGAGGAGAGAAUAGGGAAGGUGAUAGGCCAGAUGACCUAAUAGUUCUUUUUCAACUUAAUUUCUAGGAUUGUGGGAUUCUAAUUAAAAUGAACUAUAUUGCCUAUUAUGAACCCAUUACAUUAAUAUUCGGUAAGGUCUCCAGGCAAGCCAAGGGAAUUUCAGCUUUUUCUUAUUUCUGGAGAGCUAGAGUCCACGAGCCACCUUAACCACGUUGUUGGUGCCCAUGCACUGACUUCUCUACCAAUAAUGGUCAACUUAAAGUCUUUAGAAGAAGUUAAAGCACAUACUAUGAAUUAACAUUUUAUUCAAAGCAAUCCAAUGGUAUGAAAAGGAUGUCUCGAUAUGUGUCACGACAAUAAAUAUUGUGAGCCGGCUCUGUGAUGGAAGCAAUUGCCACCAAGCAACAUCUGGGAUGAAAAUCUGCUUUCUCACAUCCAGCCCUGACUCUUCCUUUCAGUUUCCACCAAAGCUUGAAAAGGAAUGUUGAUCACUGGAGAAAUCAUAGCAUUUCUGGGUCAGAGGUCCUGCCAUCAUGGAACUACCCAGUUUUCCACUGACAUUAGCCUCAUUUCCUUUACUGUCCUCCAGAAAUGGACUCCAGUGAGGAAACUCUGGCAAGGCCAUUAACAGGCUGUCCAGGGCUGGUCUGAGAACACCAGCCAAGGGACAGAGGGCAUUGUAGCCUCCAAAGUAGCAAUAGUAGGGCAAAUGGAAGAGAGUGGUGGUUCAGUUGCCCCAUGUGGUGUUUUAGGUAAAUAUAGCUGGUGCAUAAAAGAAAGAGUGGUAAGAAAAGAAAAAAAAAAAGGAGGCGUGCCUGGGUGGCUCAGUCAGUUAAGCAACCAACUCUUGACUUCGGCUUAGGUCAUGAUCUCACAGUUUGUGAGUUCAAGCCCCACGUGGGGCUCUGUGCUGACAGCAUAAAAUCUGCUGGGGAUUCUGUCUCCUUCUCUCUCUGCCCCUCCCCUUCCUGCUCUCUAUUUCUCUCCCUCAAAAUAAAUAAAAAUAAACUUAAAAAAAUUUUUUUAAGUAAUAAAAUAUUUCCUAUGAUUUAAAAAAAAGAGUGGUAACAUAUAGCUAGUAAACUAUUUUAUCAGACUUUCUUGAGGAUCCCCAAAAGGUUCUUGAUGGUCCAUAGAACUCUACCAACAGGAAGUAGACAUUGGCAUGCAUCAGAGAAUAUUAAGGUCUACCUAUUUUAAAUUAUAAGCUGGUCUCUAAUUAGCCUGCAGGGAGGUUUUGUUUUUUUUUUUAAUGUUUUAUUUCUUGUUGAGAGACAGAGAGAGAGAGAGAGACAGGGCACGAGUGGGGGAGGGACAGAGAGAGAGGGAGACACAGAAUCCAAAGCAGGCUUCAGGCUCUGAGCUGUCAGCACAGAGCCCGACGUAGGGCUCAAACUCACAAACUGUGAGAUCAUGACCUGAGCCGAAGUCGGAUGCUUAGCCGACUGAGCCACCCAGGUGCCCUGCCUGUAGGGAGUUUCUAUGGAAAUUGAAGAUAUCACUCUUCAAUAGUACAGGAGUAAAGCGUCAGGUAGGGAGAAGAACUGGAAGGUCCCUAUUCCUUCAAGAGUCAGUUGGUGUCACCUCACUAUGACAUUGUCCCUUACUCCUUUGGGCAGAUUCCAGGAGCUCUCACUUCCAUUGUAAUAUUUCUGGUAUGUAGUUAACAGUGUACACAUCCAUAUCCUACAGAGAGGGGAGAGACUGCAUCAUUUUAUCUAUUUCCGCCAGAGGAUAGCUCAGUCCCGACAUAGAAGGCUUAAUAAUUAAUAAAAACAUGUUAGGUUGUUAUAGUGACAUCUUAGAACCUUGAUUUCUUUAUCUAUAAAGUAGAUUAGUAAUAUUAACUCAGAUGGCUGUUGUGAGGACUAAAAUGCCAGAACAAAGUCCUUAGGACAGUGCCCAGCACUUAAAUAACAUGCAGUUCUUUCUCCCACAUUUUUGGUAUGGGAGGGUUUUUAUUUCUGGUUCUGAUCAACUACCCAGGCCCAAAGUGCUUCUUAAAGCAGCAAAUAAGGUUGCGGUUUAAUUAUGUGUCCAGGUUAGGUCAGUGUUUUGUACCCUAAAAGCGUGAUAGAGGUUGUACCAGCUCCAGCACAAAUUUUGGGGCAUUCAGCCUUUUUCUUAUCACCCGCUUGGCCAGAUGUACACCAUGAAUAAGGGAGAUUUCUGAGAUGGUCAUACUUGAUUCAAUUUCAGACACCCAUGAAAUAAACUUGGAGAAUGAGUGAGUAACUCAUCAGUGAUGAUAACAGUGGAGAUCGGAAGGGGGCCCUGUUUUUGUUUGUGGAUCAUCAGAAUUUCACCCUUGCUGUCCCAGAAUACCUUCAGGCCUUCCCUGAGAACUCCCCUAGAGGUAUCUUCACUCUUUUUUCUUGCUUUAUUUCGACAAAACAGGAAGCAUCUAGAGGGUGACUUGUGAAGGAGGUUUGUGCGGUCAAAACACCCUGGAGAGCAGUGGUGGGUCUGCGGAGCCAUCCUGGGACUGGUCGGCAGGAAAGAGCACACAGGAUGGCCCACUUCCAACCAAAGCCGGGAUUCCACUUUCCCACCAGCUCUGAAUUCACCUCUUGCAGGUGCACUGGCGUCACCUCGCAGCCUGCAGGUCGGUCCUCUCAGAUGACCUCUGAUUGCUGCACUGGGCACUGGACCUACAAGAAAGAAGCAAAGGAGGCCAAGAAGAGGAAGAGGCGGGUGCUGCCAGCACCCAGUUGCCGCCGAAGGCACUUGCUCUGUUGUGAGCCCAGUACCGGGCGAUGCAUCGGUCCCUUCCG
Molecule: long non-coding RNA, 7158 nt
Filed under: Lynx pardinus (Iberian lynx)
Lineage: Eukaryota; Metazoa; Chordata; Mammalia; Carnivora; Felidae
Source: RNAcentral